This 468-nucleotide long non-coding RNA is filed under the name Androctonus crassicauda. The record is from RNAcentral. Lineage: Eukaryota; Metazoa; Arthropoda; Arachnida; Scorpiones; Buthidae.
CAGCUGCCCUUCCCUUAGCAGAGCAAGGCUGACAUGAAGGCCAUUUGUGUUCCCGAGCCUGGAGGUUUGCUUUGGCUCUUGGUGGGAGAGGCUUGAGAGGGCGGCUGUGUCCCGAUAGGUGCUCUCUGGCUUUGUAGUCUCUUCCAAUGCACUUCGCCUUAUCCCUCAGCCAGCCUGACAGCCUCCCCUCUCCUGACCAGCACUCAGGUUUGGGAGUGGGUGGUGUGGUGUGGGAUUAGGGCAGCCAUAGCAGCCAAGGUGUUGAGUUUUGCAGGAUCAUACUGCCUUUGGUUCCUCUGGCCUGUGCCCUGUAGCAAUGGCCCACAUCACCUUCCCCUUGGGAAGAGCCCUUCCCCAACACAGCCCUAGACCUGCCUGAAACCAGGGGCCAUCUGUGAGUGAGCUGGAACAGAGCCUCAGCAGGAGGGCUGCUAGCUCAGCGUCUAGGGCCCGCCCACAGGGGCUAGC